AAUAGAUACCCGGGUAGUCCACGCCCUAAACUAUGUCGACUAGUUGUUGGGGGGAGUCUGUCCCUCAGUAACGUAGCUAACGCGUGAAGUCGACCGCCUGGGGAGUACGGUCGCAAGAUUAAAACUCAAAGGAAUUGACGGGGACCCGCACAAGCGGUGGAUUAUGUAGAUUAAUUCGAUGCAACGCGAAGAACCUUACCUACCCUUGACAUGCCAGGAACCUCGCAGAGAUGUGAGGGUGCCCGAAAGGGAACCUGGACACAGGUGCUGCAUGGCUGUCGUCAGCUCGUGUCGUGAGAUGUUGGGUUAAGUCCCGCAACGAGCGCAACCCUUGCCAUUAGUUGCUACAUUCAGUUGGGCACUCUAAUGGGACUGCCGGUGACAAACCGGAGGAAGGUGGGGAUGACGUCAAGUCCUCAUGGCCCUUAUGGGUAGGGCUUCACACGUAAUACAAUGGCGCAUACAGAGGGCUGCAAACCCGCGAGGGGGAGCCAAUCCCAAAAAGUGCGUCGUAGUCCGGAUUGUUCUCUGCAA
This 534-nucleotide ribosomal RNA is filed under the name uncultured bacterium. RNAcentral's name for it is "bacterial SSU rRNA". It matches the Rfam family "Bacterial small subunit ribosomal RNA", at positions 777 to 1310 of the family's 1533-position model. The record is from RNAcentral.